UAUGGAAUCUGAUUUAGGGUCUAUGGAAUCUGAUUUAGGGUCUAUGGAAUCUGAUUUAGGAUCUAUGGAAUCUGACUUGGGGUCCAUGGAAUCUGAUUUAGGGUCUAUGGAAUCUGAUUCAGGGUCUAUUGAAUCUCUUUUAGGGUCUAUGGAAUCUGAUUUAGGGUCUAUGGAAUCUGACUUGGGGUCCAUGGAAUCUGAUUUAGCAUCUAUGGAAUCUGAUUUAGGGUCUAUGGAAUCUGAUUUAGGGUAUAUGGAAUCUGACUUAGGGUCUAUGGAAUCUGAUUUAUGGUCGAUGGAAUCUGAUUUAGGGUCUAUGGAAUCUGACUUAGGGUCUAUGGAAUCUGACUUAGGGUCUAUGGAAUCUGAUUUAGUGUCUAUGGAAUCCGAUUUAGGGUCCAUGGAAUCUGAUUUAGGGUCUAUGGAAUCUGAUUUAAGGUCUAUGGAAUCUGAUUCAGGGUCUAUGGAAUCUGAUUUAGGGUCUAUGGAAUCUGAUUCAGGGUCUAUGGAAUCUGAUUUAGGGUCCACGGAAUCUGAUUUAGGGUCUAUGGAAUCUGAUUUAGGGUCUAUGGAAUCUGAUUUAGGGUCUAUGGAAUCUGACUUGAGGUCCAUGGAAUCUGAUUGAAGGUCUAUGGAAUCUGAUUUAGGGUCCAUGGAAUCUGAUUUAGAGUCUAUUGAAUCUGAUUUAGGGUCUAUGGAAUCUGAUUUAGGGUCUAUGGAAUCUGACUUGGGGUCCAUGGAAUCUGAUUUAACAUCUAUGGAAUCUGAUUUAGGGUCUAUGGAAUCUGAUUUAGGGUAUAUGGAAUCUGACUUAGGGUCUAUGGAAUCUGAUUUAUGGUCGAUGGAAUCUGAUUUAGGGUCUAUGGAAUCUGACUUAGGGUCUAUGGAAUCUGACUUAGGGUCUACGGAAUCUGAUUUAGCGUCUAUGGAAUCUGAUUUAUUGUCUAUGGAACUUGAUUUAGGGUCUAUGGAAUCUGACUUAGGGUCUAUGGAAUCUGACUUAGGGUCUAUGGAAUCUUAUUUAGUGUCUAUGGAAUCCGAUUUAGGGUCUAUGGAAUCUGAUUUAAGGUCCAUGGAAUCAGAUUUAUGGUCUAUGGAAUCUGACUUACGGUCUAUGGAAUCUGACUUAGGGUCUAUGGAAUCUGAUUUAGGGUCUAUGGAAUCUGAUUUAGGGUCUAUGGAAUCUGAUUUAGGGUCUAUGGAAUCUGACUUGGGGUCCAUGGAAUCUGAUUUAGCAUCUAUGGAAUCUGAUUUAGGGUCUAUGGAAUCUGAUUUAGGGUCUAUGGAAUCUGACUUAUGGUCUAUGGAAUCUGACUUAGGGUCUAUGGAAUCUGAUUUAGGGUCUAUGGAAUCUGACUUAGGGUCUAUGGAAUCUGACUUAG
RNAcentral lists this long non-coding RNA (1382 nucleotides) under Salmo salar (Atlantic salmon). RNAcentral describes it as "lncRNA (ENSSSAG00000085745.1)". The record is from RNAcentral. Lineage: Eukaryota; Metazoa; Chordata; Actinopteri; Salmoniformes; Salmonidae.